AAGCGCUUGUGACCAGACUUGGGCUUGGUUGAUCAUCCAGGGUUCUCCCCGGUGCACUCUUCCAGUCCAGGCCAGCAUCAGUUCGCCGCGGGGGACAAAAGCUUCGGGAAUGUGGCUCCCUCGGGAGUGUUAUAGCCCUCGGUGCAAUGCCGCCUACCUGGACCGAGGACCGCGCUUCGGCUAGGAUGCUGGCGUAAUGGU
RNAcentral lists this ribosomal RNA (201 nucleotides) under Nectriaceae sp. RNAcentral describes it as "partial large subunit ribosomal RNA". The record is from RNAcentral. Lineage: Eukaryota; Fungi; Ascomycota; Sordariomycetes; Hypocreales; Nectriaceae.